UAGCUUAUCGAAAGCAUUUCACUUACACUGGAAAAAAGUCCGUUUAACCCGGUCUACUUUGA
RNAcentral lists this transfer RNA (62 nucleotides) under Ischnocnema venancioi. RNAcentral describes it as "tRNA-Val". Lineage: Eukaryota; Metazoa; Chordata; Amphibia; Anura; Brachycephalidae. The record is from RNAcentral.